CCAAAUCCCACACUGCUACAAUCUCUCCCUCCCCCCCCCUACGGAUACCUUAUCACAGAAAAAAAAGGAAAAGAAAAUCAUCUCUUCCUUUUGUUCUUAUUUUAACCCUAGAAAGAAACCCAUUUGUCUUCACUUCAACUGUUGCUGGGUUUGGAUCGUUUCCUCCAGGACACGGCUGUGAACUUUACGAGAAGAAGUGAAAUCCUGUUAACAGCUAGAUGGGUGAAGUUCUUCCUCUGUGUGCCUCUCCUCGUGGCUUAUUCCUCUGCACUUGGACGGUUUCCUCUCAGAAGUGCUGGCAGAGCUUGAAGACUGCGAUUUCAUUUGUUAAGAAGUUUAGGUGGGCAUGGCCGUCUUCAAUGGGUGGUCCACCAAAUGGUGGUAAUUUUUCUCGUGUUUUUCAGGGCCUAUCGUAAUGGGCGUUGAGGCGUUUUGGUGGUGUUUGGGGUACCUUCCCUACGGUUGCAUGGUGCCUGCCAUUCUGAAUUUUGUUCAUGAUUCGAGUUCUGUCAUCGUACUAUUUAUGUUACUCGGGAGCUUUUUUUUUCAUAUGGCUGUGGUAUACUCUAUUGUUUAUUGGCAUCAGUACAUGCCUUUCCGGUUAAUUGGUGCCAAGGCGAAAUUUAUGAUUGAGGUCAUUCCCAUGAUAACUGCAGCAGCCUUGCAUCACCUUUUGGAGUUCAAUUAUGGGUAUCUCGCUCUACUGCUAUGCUGUACCACAUAUUUUUACACCUUUGCCCACUUCUUGCACUUCGCAUAUGAUAUCGGGGGAAUAGACGUAUUGCUGGGAAUAGUCAUACAGGUUCUUGCUUACAUGCUGUACGUAGGAUUGUUAGUUAGAGCUUUGGCUUUGAGCUUCUGCUUUGUUUUAUGUUUCUAUAGAUACAAGACGUAUUGUGCUCCUGAACUACCUGUUGAUAGUAAAAAGGAGUUGGAGCAGCUACCUUGUUGAUCUGUAUGUGUCCUUAGAGGACUAACUUCGUGUACUUUUUAAUUUGUGAUAUCUCAUAAUUUAUGAGCUAUUUUUGUCAUGUAAUCUAUCAGGGCUUCUUUGUCAUGUAAUCUAUUUUUGUCUGUUUAAUCUCUCAGGGCUUCUUUCACUUUCUUUAGUCGAGGGUAUAUCGGA
This is a non-coding RNA of Nicotiana tabacum (common tobacco), 1126 nucleotides long. The record is from RefSeq and is a predicted model, not a curated record. Lineage: Eukaryota; Viridiplantae; Streptophyta; Magnoliopsida; Solanales; Solanaceae.